AACUUUCGACAAUGGAUCACUUGGCUCUGGCAUCGAUGAAGAACGCAGCGAAACGCGAUAGGUAAUGUGAAUUGCAGAAUUCAGUGAAUCAUCGAAUCUUUGAACGCACCUUGCGCUCGCUGGUAUUCCGGUGAGCAUGCCUGUUUGAGUGUCAUGAAACUAUCAACCGGGACUUGGGUUUUUCCCUCGUUCUCGGCUUGGAUUUGGGUGCUUGCAGGACUUUGGUGUGCUGCUCACCUUAAAAGAAUUAGCUGGACAUGUCGCAUGACUUGGUUCUACUUGGCGUAAUAAGUAUUUCGCUGAGGACAUCCCUCGGGGUGGCCAGGACUUGUGGUGGACGUCUGCUUUCUAGCCUCAUCAUCUCUCCGAGACAUGACUUUUUAUGAUCUGGCCUCAAAUCAGGUAGGACUACCCGCUGAACUUAAGCAUAUCAAUAAGCGGAGGCU
This 446-nucleotide unclassified non-coding RNA is filed under the name uncultured Cryptococcus. RNAcentral's name for it is "sequence contains ITS2". The stretch from base 1 to 154 matches the Rfam family "5.8S ribosomal RNA". Lineage: Eukaryota; Fungi; Basidiomycota; Tremellomycetes. The record is from RNAcentral.